UGAGACUGAAAAUCUUCCCAGACUUUACAGUGGUCUGUGGUUAGAUAACUUAGCCUAAAUUACUCUGGUGCUUUAGCUUAUCGCCAGCUCUGCAUAGUAGCUGAGUGAUAAAACCCAUGCGCCAACAAAU
Small nucleolar RNA from Parambassis ranga (Indian glassy fish), 130 nucleotides. Lineage: Eukaryota; Metazoa; Chordata; Actinopteri; Ambassidae. The record is from Ensembl.